AGGGGUAUAGUUUAAUUGGUAAAGCAGCGGUCUCCAAAACCGCAAUUUCGGGUUCAAGUCCUGAUACCCCUGCCA
Molecule: transfer RNA, 75 nt
Filed under: Oscillospiraceae bacterium
Lineage: Bacteria; Bacillati; Bacillota; Clostridia; Eubacteriales; Oscillospiraceae
Description: tRNA-Trp
Rfam family: tRNA
About the family: Transfer RNA (tRNA) molecules are approximately 80 nucleotides in length. Their secondary structure includes four short double-helical elements and three loops (D, anti-codon, and T loops).
Source: RNAcentral